CUGAAGUAUCAAUAAUGAGCUGUUGCUGAUAUCGUGCACGCUCGUUAUUCUUCAUUUCUCCAUCAUUUGUGCAUCACUUGUGUGGAUCACAAUUAGGACUGCUUUGCAAAGUUGCUAUUUGCGGGGCUUUCCUUGUAAUCUUUUGAUCCACAUGUUUUAUUUUUUACAAACAUUGUGUAAUGAACGUCAUUAGAUCAUAACAUGAAA
Molecule: unclassified non-coding RNA, 207 nt
Filed under: uncultured Inocybe
Lineage: Eukaryota; Fungi; Basidiomycota; Agaricomycetes; Agaricales; Cortinariaceae
Description: sequence contains ITS1
Source: RNAcentral